Molecule: RNA transcript, 1735 nt
Organism: Cicer arietinum (chickpea)
Lineage: Eukaryota; Viridiplantae; Streptophyta; Magnoliopsida; Fabales; Fabaceae
Gene name: ubiquitin receptor RAD23b-like
Source: RefSeq, a predicted model, not a curated record
UUUAUUAUUAAUGGAAGAAAAAAAAAAUGAGAAGAGAAGAGCGUGUGGUGAGUGUGAGUGAAAGAGAGGAAAGUAUACUGGACAAGAGAAAACAACACUAGGGUUCGUUUCUUCUCAUUUUCCACAUUCCCUUCCGCCAGCGUUGCUGAAUCGGAAUCGGUUUCGGAUUCGGAUUCGGAUCGGUGCUGUUUCGUUGCCGGCUAGUCAUGAAGCUCACUGUGAAGACCUUGAAAGGCAGCCAUUUCGAAAUCAGGGUUCUACCCUCUGAUUCUAUAAUGGCUGUCAAAAAGAAUAUUGAAGACGUACAAGGCAAAGAUAAUUAUCCAUGCGGACAGCAAUUGCUGAUUCACAAUGGCAAGGUUUUGAAAGAUGAAACUACAUUAGCAGAGAAUAAGGUUUCCGAAGAUGGCUUUCUUGUUGUCAUGCUUAGUAAGAGUAAAGCCUUGGGAUCUGCUGGAACUUCAUCUACUCAGACUGCUAGCAAUCCACCUAUAACUGUGUCAACACCAGAUUCCACACCUGUAGUACAAACUCACAGAUCUGCAAACAACAAUGCAUCUGCAAACAACAAUGCAUCUGCAGCAGAUGUCACAACUACAAAUGUUACUACAGAUAAUUAUGGACAGGCUGCUUCAAAUUUAGUUGCUGGUAGUAAUCUUGAGCAGACUAUUCAACAAAUUAUGGACAUGGGUGGUGGCAGCUGGGAUAGAGAUACCGUUAGUCGUGCUCUUCGUGCAGCUUACAAUAACCCAGAGCGUGCUGUAGAUUACUUGUAUUCUGGAAUUCCUGAAGCAGCGGAAAUUGCUGUACCGGCUGCUCAUUACCCAAGUAAUCAAACUGAAACAGGUGGGGUCUCUACUGGAGUUGUUCCUGGGGCCCCUAACUCGGCUCCCUUGAAUAUGUUUCCACAGUUGAAACUCUUUCAGGAGACAAUUUCUGGUGCAGGAGCUGGAAUUGGUUCACUUGACUUCCUGAGGAACAAUCCCCAGGUGGGAUUUUUGUUUCAUCAUUUAUCUAACUGUUUCUAUUUCCACAUAUUUAGUUUCAAGCAUUGCGGACAAUGGUGCAAUCCAAUCCACAAAUUCUACAGCCUGUUCUUCAGGAGCUCGGAAAGCAAAAUCCAGGUCUCUUGAGACUGAUUGAUGAGCAUCAUGCUGAGUUUCUUCAGCUGAUAAAUGAACCCAUGGAUGGUUCGGAAGGAGAUAAUUUUGAUCAACCUGAGCAAGACAUGCCUCAUGCCAUCAAUGUGACGCCAGCUGAGCAGGAGGCAAUUGGAAGGCUAGAGGCUAUGGGAUUUGAUAGAGCCUCUGUCAUAGAGGCAUUUUUGGCAUGUGACCGUGAUGAACAAUUGGCAGCCAACUAUUUACUCGAAAAUGCUGGGGAUUUUGAGGAUUAAAUCACUAACCUACCAUGAUUCAUAGUUUUGUUCAGGCCUUUUUUUUUUUAACAUAUAUUUGUCAAGGAGGGUGGGUUUGCAUAUUUUUCUACUUACUGUGUCUUUCUUAGGCAAUUUACAUGGUAAAAGUUUCUGAUUUGGAUUGACGUGUUCUAUUAUUUGUUACUCAUGAUUUUGGUAUGGUUUAGCUUAUAUAUAACAGCGUUUUGAGUUAUCUUCCCUGAUUUAGGUUUUGGUGCGUCGUACAAGAGGAAUUGCCCCAAUGAAAAUUGCACUUUUAGUUCUGCUAAAGUUAUGUAAUUUUGCUCCUACAAUAUUUAAGCAAUUUUGUUUAUCAAA